CUUAUCGUCACCUCCAGCAAUCAGCAGCCACCCGAAGCCUUCUUUCCCCCAAAUCUUCGGCAAGAGCUAGUGCCUUCCGGCAAGCAAUUGCCUCCAUCGUUAUCGGUGAAGCCAGCGUCGAUUACGCGGGACGCUCCCAAGAAGCUGACGUCCGCCGCUACCGCCCCUCGAGCCUGCUUCUUCGCAGGAGCAGCAUCGGCAUUGACCUUCACACAGCCAUAGGGGGCGGGAUCCACUUCGUCCGACUCGCACGAGCAGCAGAUCGGCAUCAGCUGCAGAGGUGUGCUCGUCUUAUACAUGACAGCAUCUCGUUGACGCCAGGAAGCCACACUCCGGCAGCUGCAGCGAAUUUACACUGCAGGUCGAGGCUAGCUGAGAUCCAUGGCGUCGAGCAGGGCGAUCUUGGCCAUGGGCCUCCUUGCCGCCGUGCUGUCCCCCGCCUUGUCAACGCGGUCGUUUAUCUCCAUGCCAGCCGACGUGAGUAGUCCUGUGACCCUGGCCAACGGCCUCUCCUACGGCUACCACGCCAACUCCUGCCCACAGCUGCAAGACAUCGUGUGGCCGAUCGUGGAGAGCGCGGUCCUGGGUGAGGUGGCCAUCGCCGCCGGCCUCCUCCGUAUCUUCUUCCACGAUUGCUUUCCUCAGGGCUGCGACGCGUCCGUCCUUCUGACGGGACCCAACAGCGAGCGGGACCUGCCGCCGAACCAGACGCUGCAGCCGCGUGCGAUGCAGCUCAUCGAGGACGUCCGCGUCAAGGUACACGCCGCCUGCGGCGCCACCGUCUCCUGCGCCGACAUCAUCGCCCUCGCCACCCGCGACGCCGUCUUCGUGGCCGGGGAAAGCGAAAUGUUCUACUUCUACGACCUGCCGCUCGGCCGGUUUGACAGCCUCGAGCCGGCUAAUAGCAGCGCCGUCUUCGACCUCCCGCAGUCCACCGCCGACGCCAACACGCUCAUCAACGCCUUCAAGAGCCGCAACCUCGAGCCGAUCGACCUCGUCGCGCUCUCUGGCGCGCACACCGUCGGGAAGGCGCAGUGCAGCUCCUUCAACAACCGCUUCUCCGAGGACGCCGACUUCGCCCGGAGGCUCGCCGCCAACUGCUCCAGCGACCCGAACCGGCUGCAGGACCUCGACGUGGAAACCCCCAUCGUGUUGGACAACCAGUACUUCAAAAACCUGAUGGAGGGAAAGGGGGUGUUCACCUCCGACCAAGUGCUCAUCAGCGACGGGCGCACCGACUGGGCGGUCAAAGGCCUCGCCGAGAACAAAUAUUGGUUCUACAGCCAGUUCCGUGACUCCUUGGUGAAGCUGAGUCAGUACCAACCCGGAGGAAACGUGGGCGAGAUCCGCCGCAACAGCUGCUUCGCGCCCAACGGACGGAGCAUUCCCGCCACCGCCGGUGACGAGGGGUUCGCAGCCUCUGCUUGAGUUCACCGCUCACUACGGGAUCCUCGUUUAGUUUGCUUGUAGUAAGAGUAUAAGCUAGUGUGUACUCUGCUUCGUUCAAUCCUCUUUCAUGAUGGCUCAGAACACGUUUGAAACAGUUGCACGGGGUUUGUUCACUCGGGUUUUGUUUUUGGCUGGCGGGCCAUCGAGAGAUUACGUGGAUGAGCCAAGUUUCUCCGUUGGUGCUAACCAAGCUGAGUGCGUCUCAAGACUGGGCCGGUAUACACAGCUAGGCAUCGAAGCUUGUUUCUUUUUUU
Molecule: ribosomal RNA, 1703 nt
Filed under: Triticum aestivum (bread wheat)
Lineage: Eukaryota; Viridiplantae; Streptophyta; Magnoliopsida; Poales; Poaceae
Description: partial small subunit ribosomal RNA
Source: RNAcentral